Molecule: ribosomal RNA, 510 nt
Filed under: Drosophila atroscutellata
Lineage: Eukaryota; Metazoa; Arthropoda; Insecta; Diptera; Drosophilidae
Description: partial 16S ribosomal RNA
Rfam family: Bacterial large subunit ribosomal RNA
Source: RNAcentral
GUCUUUUUGAAUUAAAUUUAAAGUCUAACCUGCCCACUGAAAAUUUUAAAUGGCCGCAGUAUUCUAACUGUGCAAAGGUAGCAUAAUCAUUAGUCUUUUAAUUGAAGGCUGGAAUGAAUGGUUGGACGAAAUAUUAACUGUUUCAUUUAAAUUUUUUAUAGAAUUUUAUUUUUUAGUCAAAAAGCUAAAAUAAAUUUAAAAGACGAGAAGACCCUAUAAAUCUUUAUAUUUUGUUUAUUUUAAUUAUAAAGAUUAUUUUUAUUAUAAUAAAUUAAAAUAUUUUAUUGGGGUGAUAUUAAAAUUUAAAAAACUUUUAAUUUUAAAAACCAUUAAUUUAUGAAUAAUUGAUCCAUUAAUAAUGAUUAAAAAUUUAAGUUACUUUAGGGAUAACAGCGUAAUUUUUUUGGAGAGUUCAUAUCGAUAAAAAAGAUUGCGACCUCGAUGUUGGAUUAAGAUAUAAUUUUGGGUGUAGCCGUUCAAAUUUUAAGUCUGUUCGACUUUUAAAUUCUU